Sarcophilus harrisii (Tasmanian devil) is the source of this 1091-nucleotide long non-coding RNA. RefSeq lists it as uncharacterized. The transcript is spliced from 4 exons. Lineage: Eukaryota; Metazoa; Chordata; Mammalia; Dasyuromorphia; Dasyuridae. The record is from RefSeq and is a predicted model, not a curated record.
UCCGUCCUUCUCACCCCUCUUCCUCACACGGCAACAGCACCAGUCUCCUUUUUUUUUCCUCCUCUCCUUUUCCUCUCACCAGGAAGUAGACCGGGCUGCCGGAAGUGACGUAUGAGGGCGAGGAGAGGACAGAGGAGAUCCCACGAGCCCCCCUCCUUCCCAGUCUCCCUCCACCUCUGGCUUGCAGCUGGAGCGAACCGGGCCUGUGCGCAGCCCUCGCCGCCGCCUGCCUGGAAACGGGCCCCGGGAAACUGCCUCCUGCCCCAUGCCGUUGCGGGGAGAAAAAUCUAUCAGUCACGAUGGUCAAACAGAAGUUAAAGCUGUAACUGCACUGAAAUCUUUCACGUCUUCACGUCCAGUGCCCUACUUCACCCGGUGAUGAGGCUCAAAAGAGGGAUCGAAUGACCUAACAUAUUAUAAUAAAGCUCAUUUUACAGACAAGGAACUGAGGCAAGCAGGGUGGAUCACAUAGUUGGAAAGUAUAUGACUUUGGAUUUGAACUCAGGUCUUGCCGAGUCCACUGAGUGAGGUGCCUCACUAUCAUUUAGUCAAAGGCAAAUUUAAGCAAGUCUGAGAUUCCACCUCAUACCCAUCAAAAAGUUGAUGAAAUUGAGGCAGACACAUGGAACAUCAAGAGCUCACAACAAGUAAGCAUCUAAGGCUGUAUUUGAAUUUAGGCCUUCCUGACCCCAGGCCUAGCCAUGCUAUCCAUUUAAAACUCUUUCCUAUCUUUUUAAUCUUCCUACUGUCUGGUGGAUAUAUGGGGUGCUCAGGGAAAACUAUGGCCUCAGGUGUGAGGGCUUACUGAGCCCUUUAUCAGGCUUGCUCAUCCCACUUUGGUGUUUGGUGCUCAUUUCCCACUGUGGCUCCAAGAAUCCAUAGGAUGUGCAGUGGCCACAUCCCUGUAAAACUGUCUUGGCAGAUGGGCUAAACCAGGUUUACAGGCCUCAAACCCAUAGAUGAGUUAGGAGGACAUCCACCUCAGGGGGCUCUUCCCCCUGCCCCAUGGAAUGGGCAAAUGAAAGAGGUUGAGGCCUAUGGAAUACUUAUGAGCUUGAUCAAACAAUAAAAUGUCAUGAUCUUCUACUGAA